UACAGAGGGGGCGAGCGUUGUUCGGAAUUACUGGGCGUAAAGGGUGCGUAGGCGGUCGGGUAAGUCUGAUGUGAAAUCUCACAGCUUAACUGUGAAACUGCAUUGGAUACUAUCCGGCUCGAGGAAUGGAGGGGAGACUGGAAUACUUGGUGUAGCAGUGAAAUGCGUAGAUAUCAAGUGGAACACCAGUGGCGAAGGCGGCUCACUGGCCCGGUACUGACGCUGAGGUGCGAAAGCGUGGGGAGCAAACAGG
RNAcentral lists this ribosomal RNA (253 nucleotides) under uncultured bacterium. Its description in RNAcentral is "partial 16S ribosomal RNA". It matches the Rfam family "Bacterial small subunit ribosomal RNA", at positions 524 to 776 of the family's 1533-position model. The record is from RNAcentral.